GGGGAUGCAUUGCAUCGACAGGAAUGUACUUUAAAAACUGCAAGCCGACUUUGAUAAUAGUCGCUAAACAAGAUCAAAAUAUAAAUGCUAGAAGCAAUUUUAGCGGUCAAUUGGCUUAUGCCUAUGCGCCUCAAAACGCAUACGUAAACUAAGAAGACCUGUUCAUAGUGUCUUUUCUCAACGAGGCGUUAUGGGCAUAAAUAAAGUUGAGUUAUAGAUAAAGAGUUGGUUGGCUUUUUAUCCGAAAAUUUCAACCUUUGCUUUAUUUGUUUCCUGCCGGUUGGAGAAAAUAUUGCGACAUUUAAAAAUCGGACAAGCUUGUAGAAGUUUUUAAUUAUACUUUCUUGGACUCCGAGUCACUCUCGGACAUCUCCACAC
This 378-nucleotide transfer-messenger RNA is filed under the name Patescibacteria group. Its description in RNAcentral is "2-01-FULL-38-21 sp001782085 Standard tmRNA". It matches the Rfam family "transfer-messenger RNA". From Rfam's summary of the family: Bacterial tmRNA, also known as 10Sa RNA or SsrA, is named for its dual tRNA and mRNA-like properties. Its role is to liberate the mRNA from a stalled ribosome. To accomplish this part of the tmRNA is used as a reading frame that ends in a translation stop signal. The record is from RNAcentral. RNAcentral also lists the same sequence under 2 other names.